GGGGCCGCCCGCAGCAGCAGCAGCGGCAGCGGCGGCGGGCCGAGGCCCCUUCCGAGCGUCCCGGCGCCGUCAGCCCCGCGGCGACGGCCGAACAAUGGCCUGCGGUGGCGAGCCCGCCCGGGCCGCCUCGGAGCGGGCGCACCUGGGUGAUGGGCACCUCCCGAGACUCCCCGGGCCUGCGGGCCUGACAGGCGCGAGGCGGCUCCUUAAUAGACUGCGGGAGUGUUCUCCGGGAGAAGUCUGCGGCGGUCCCCGAGGAGAGAUCAUCAGGCAGAGUGGUCCCCGGAGCAGGAUUUAUUAGCAGACAGGAUGGGGAAGUUGAUUAGCCUCCGCGGCUGAACGGACAUCCUGUCAGACAGGCCUCUUAAUCCAAUCACUUACCUGUCGAGGGGGAGCCUCCCGCCUGCCGCCCGCCGCCCGCGGGGCCCCUGCUAACCUGCCCGCCGCAGAGCGGGAGCUGCGGGCCUCGGGCGUGGGCCCACCGAGGCGACAAACGCGCGAGGCUCGCCGUCUCGCCCUUGCCGGACCUGCUCUCUCAGUCACUGGGUCUUGCUGUCGAGGCAACCUCAAGGUGAGGACGAUGUUUAAAUUUACUUGAAGGUCCUAUGAAGGGGAUGAAAAAUAAGUAACAGAGUGGGAACUUACCUACUAGAAAGAGAACAUGCUAAGUCAAGCCCAAUGAGCCCUACUUGCUGCUCACCUCACCGCCAUGUGGCCUGCGCUUCUAGAAAAUCUCCCGAAACCCAGCUUUUCCUGGAUGUCUUCUUGGCAGAACUCUGGGAGGCAGUGCAAAGACCUAAAAAUGAAUGAAAUACCAUUUUACACCUUGGAGGCCCCCAGUCCAGUCACUCUCAGAGGAACCUUUUCAAUGUUGCCAAAUGGACAUCCAUUCAGCUCCUCUUUCAGCCCACCUCCUCCCGGGACAGCUUAAUCUCUCUGUGGAAAAGGAGGAAAACGACAAACACGCCAACCUCCGAACCUGUUUGCGCAUCUGGGGAAGAUAGAGGCCCCUCUUCCAGGGCUGUGGCAGCUACACCUGGUGAGCUGACACAUCCUAACUGCUCAGCAAAGGUGAUGAUGACUGUUACCACAUCCUGUGCCUGCUUGUCGUUCCUGGGUGUCCCACAGCAUCUCACAGACACCACUUGCUCGUGCAACCAUUGUCCUGAUAUGGUUUGCCUCCUCACUACCAGAGGGGGAGCUCCAUGAGGGCAGGGUUCAUAUUCCAUUCAUCUCUGUCCCCAGCCCUGGUGCCCAGACCAGACCCUGGCAUGGAGCAAAAAUCAAGGAGCAUUUAUUGGCUGGAGGAAGGAGAAAACAAAAGGCAGUUCAUUUUAAAAAUGCAGACCCUGAUGGUUCCCAGAAAUUCCAGUUGAUUCAUGGUUUUUGACUGGAAUUGUAGUUUUCCCUGGAUUCAACAUUCAGCUGAACCCAAGGAGUGCCAAGUAAACACAGGCACAGGUCACCAAAUCUUCAGGCCAUACAAGGAGUGAAAUUCCAGUCUUCGUUUCUUGAAAAUACCUCCAAACUUCCAAGGGAUGCUCUUAAAACCACUUUCCCUUGGCUUUGGAGAUAGGAAGCAGCAGUUCUGCCCCAGGACACCUGAACCUGCAUUUUGCCUAAGCUGGCCACCUGUUUCUGUCUCAGUCUUCUUAUAUUUGUACUGGAGGGAUGAAGGCUGUUCGUCCUUCACUGCCUCAGAGGUGGCAGGAAAGAGCUGGGUGAAGCUGAGAUUGAAAUGCUCUGGAAUUCGUGGUGUCAUGAAGAUACAGCCUGGCUAACUAUCCCGAGACCCAUUUCCUCUUUUUCUUCAGCACACAGGUAGACUGCAUUUCUCAGCCUCUCUUGCAGUUGGGCCUGGCCACAAGACAGAGUUGUGGCCAAUAACAUGUGAGUGAAGAUGUCUCCCAUUUCCAGCCCUGCCCGUGGAAAUCUUCCAAGGCAUGAUACUCCAGAUGCUUAUCUUUUUUGCAGCCUUGAUGCAGACAAACAACUUUGGAGGCUACACAUAAAGAUGGCAGAGCCAAAAGAUACAAGGGACCUCGAUCCCUGAGUCACUUUGUGGAAGGCUGCCUCCCUACCAGGAACACCCACAUUUAACCAUCAUGUAAGUGAAAGGUGUAUGCUUUUGUGUGGAGACAUUUCAGUUAUAGGGUAUGUUUGUUGCAUCAGCUGGCACUGCUUUAUCGGACACACGAGUUCACAGAGCAAAUGAGAAAAUUAGCCUGCAUCCACACUGUCCACACUGUAAGAAUUUCUACGAGUUUCAGGAAUGUAUCUGCCAUGCUCUACAAAGUAUGCACAAUGUUUUAAUUCCACUUCACAGAAAGGUUUUCUUUCCAAACCCUCUUCAGGGGCCUUCCCUAUUAAAAAGUCCCAUUUAUAGAAACUA
This is a long non-coding RNA of Leopardus geoffroyi (Geoffroy's cat), 2392 nucleotides long. RefSeq lists it as uncharacterized. The record is from RefSeq and is a predicted model, not a curated record. NCBI's taxonomy places the organism in Eukaryota, Metazoa, Chordata, Mammalia, Carnivora, Felidae. The transcript is spliced from 5 exons.